GAAGCCCUGCUCUAUUCGAAGUCUUAAGUUCCACUUGAGAGGUUUAUGUAGAAUAGAACGGGGCUAC
RNAcentral lists this non-coding RNA (67 nucleotides) under unclassified sequences. RNAcentral describes it as "DUF3800-VIII RNA". It matches the Rfam family "DUF3800-VIII RNA". Rfam says of the family: Bacteroidetes, Cyanobacteria, Firmicutes, Planctomycetes (1 example), Proteobacteria, Tenericutes (1 example). The record is from Rfam by way of RNAcentral.